Molecule: ribosomal RNA, 492 nt
Filed under: uncultured bacterium
Lineage: Bacteria
Description: partial 16S ribosomal RNA
Rfam family: Bacterial small subunit ribosomal RNA
Source: RNAcentral
AGUGAACGCUGGCGGUAGGCCUAACACAUGCAAGUCGAACGGCAGCACAGUAAGAGCUUGCUCUUACGGGUGGCGAGUGGAGGACGGGUGAAGUAUACAUCGGAAUCUACUUUUUCGUGGGGGAUAACGGAGGGAAACUUACGCUAAUACCGCAUACGACCUACGGGUGAAAGCAGGGGAUCUUCGGACCUUGCGCGAUUGAAUGAGCCGAUGUGGGAUUAGCUAGUUGGCGGGGUAAAGGCCCACCAAGGCGACGAUCCGUAGCUGGGCUGAGAGGAUGAUCAGCCACACUGGAACUGAGACACGGUCCAGACUCCUACGGGAGGCAGCAGUGGGGAAUAUUGGACAAUGGGCGCAAGCCUGCUCCAGCCAUACCGCGUGGGUGAAGAAGGCCUUCGGGUUGUAAAGCCCUUUUGUUGGGAAAGAAAAGCAGCAGGUUAAUACCCCGCUGUUCUGACGGUACCCAAAGAAUAAGCACCGGCUAACUUCGUG